UAAAAUGUGUUGAUUAAUAUAGACAGCAGGACAGUGGCCAUGGAAGUUGAAAUCACUAAAGAGUGUAUAACAACUCACCUUCUGAAUCAACUAGCCCUGAAAAUGGAGAGCAUUGGA
This 117-nucleotide non-coding RNA is filed under the name Bos taurus (domestic cattle). Its description in RNAcentral is "Eukaryotic large subunit ribosomal RNA". It matches the Rfam family "Eukaryotic large subunit ribosomal RNA", at positions 1215 to 1332 of the family's 3401-position model. Lineage: Eukaryota; Metazoa; Chordata; Mammalia; Artiodactyla; Bovidae. The record is from Rfam by way of RNAcentral. RNAcentral also lists the same sequence under 1 other name.